Molecule: unclassified non-coding RNA, 200 nt
Filed under: Ascomycota sp.
Lineage: Eukaryota; Fungi; Ascomycota
Description: partial internal transcribed spacer 2
Source: RNAcentral
UUAAGUUCAGCGGGUAUCCCUACCUGAUCCGAGGUCAAGUCGUGAAAGGUCUUGCUGGAGCGCGGAUCCGCCGGGCCUCCGAGAAGCGCAAAUGUGCUGCGCGAGGGGGCCGGCACGACCGCCGCCAAUGACUUUGAGGCGAGUCCGCGCGCGAAAACGGCGGGACAGACGCCCAACACCAAGCUAGGCUUGAGGGUGUA